GGGCGUGUGGCGUAGUUGGUAGCCGUUCGCCUGCAAGCGAAGGUCAUCGGUUCGACUCCGGUCUCGUCCA
RNAcentral lists this transfer RNA (70 nucleotides) under Pichia kudriavzevii. RNAcentral's name for it is "tRNA-OTHER". It matches the Rfam family "tRNA". Rfam says of the family: Transfer RNA (tRNA) molecules are approximately 80 nucleotides in length. Lineage: Eukaryota; Fungi; Ascomycota; Pichiomycetes; Pichiales; Pichiaceae. The record is from RNAcentral.